RNAcentral lists this transfer RNA (65 nucleotides) under Scaphoideus maai. Its description in RNAcentral is "tRNA-Ser". The record is from RNAcentral. Lineage: Eukaryota; Metazoa; Arthropoda; Insecta; Hemiptera; Cicadellidae.
UAGGAACUGGUAUAGAAAUAGCUGCUAACUGAUUUCUAAAGCGGUUAAACUCCGUUUUUUCCUUU